This 67-nucleotide transfer RNA is filed under the name Pselaphinae sp. 11 EF-2015. RNAcentral describes it as "tRNA-Arg". The record is from RNAcentral. Lineage: Eukaryota; Metazoa; Arthropoda; Insecta; Coleoptera; Staphylinidae.
AAAUAAGAAACAAAUUAUUGUAUUUAGUUUCGACCUAAAAUUGUGAUUAGCUUUUAAUCCUUAUUUU